CCUACGGGUGGCAGCAGUGGGGAAUAUUGGACAAUGGGCGAAAGCCUGAUCCAGCCAUGCCGCGUGUGUGAAGAAGGCCUUCGGGUUGUAAAGCACUUUCAGUGGGGAAGAAAGCCUUGGGGCUAAUACCCUCGAGGAAGGACAUCACCCACAGAAGAAGCACCGGCUAACUCCGUGCCAGCAGCCGCGGUAAUACGGAGGGUGCGAGCGUUAAUCGGAAUUACUGGGCGUAAAGCGCGCGUAGGCGGUCUGAUAAGCCGGUUGUGAAAGCCCCGGGCUCAACCUGGGAACGGCAUCCGGAACUGUCAGGCUAGAGGGCAGGAGAGGAAGGUAGAAUUCCCGGUGUAGCGGUGAAAUGCGUAGAGAUCGGGAGGAAUACCAGUGGCGAAGGCGGCCUUCUGGACUGACACUGACGCUGAGGUGCGAAAGCGUGGGUAGCAAACAGGACUAGAUACCCCAGUAGUC
This 465-nucleotide ribosomal RNA is filed under the name Vreelandella stevensii. Its description in RNAcentral is "partial 16S ribosomal RNA". It matches the Rfam family "Bacterial small subunit ribosomal RNA", at positions 338 to 795 of the family's 1533-position model. Lineage: Bacteria; Pseudomonadati; Pseudomonadota; Gammaproteobacteria; Oceanospirillales; Halomonadaceae. The record is from RNAcentral.